Molecule: ribosomal RNA, 750 nt
Filed under: uncultured bacterium
Lineage: Bacteria
Description: bacterial SSU rRNA
Rfam family: Bacterial small subunit ribosomal RNA
Source: RNAcentral
CACGCAUUUUUANNUGCAGUCGAACGGUAACGCGGGGAGAAGCUUGCUUCUCUCCGGCGACGAGUGGCGAACGGGUGAGUAAUACAUCGGAACGUGUCCGCUCGUGGGGGACAACCAGCCGAAAGGUUGGCUAAUACCGCAUGAGUUCUACGGAAGAAAGAGGGGGACCCGCAAGGGCCUCUCGCGAGCGGAGCGGCCGAUGACUGAUUAGCCGGUUGGUGAGGUAACGGCUCACCAAAGCAACGAUCAGUAGCUGGUCUGAGAGGACGACCAGCCACACUGGGACUGAGACACGGCCCAGACUCCUACGGGAGGCAGCAGUGGGGAAUUUUGGACGAUGGGCGCAAGCCUGAUCCAGCUAUUCCGCGUGUGGGAUGAAGGCCCUCGGGUUGUAAACCACUUUUGUAGAGAACGAAAAGACACCUUCGAAUAAAGGGUGUUGCUGACGGUACUCUAAGAAUAAGCACCGGCUAACUACGUGCCAGCAGCCGCGGUAAUACGUAGGGUGCGAGCGUUAAUCGGAAUUACUGGGCGUAAAGGGUGCGCAGGCGGUUGAGUAAGACAGAUGUGAAAUCCCCGAGCUUAACUCGGGAAUGGCAUAUGUGACUGCUCGACUAGAGUGUGUCAGAGGGAGGUGGAAUUCCACGUGUAGCAGUGAAAUGCGUAGAUAUGUGGAAGAACACCGAUGGCGAAGGCAGCCUCCUGGGACAUAACUGACGCUCAGGCACGAAAGCGUGGGGAGCAAACAGG